CCUACGGGGGGCUGCAGUGAGGAAUAUUGGUCAAUGGACGCAAGUCUGAACCAGCCAUGCCGCGUGCAGGAAGACGGCUCUAUGAGUUGUAAACUGCUUUUGUACCGGGGUAAAAUGCUCUACGAGUAGGGUUUUGAAAGUACGGUACGAAUAAGGAUCGGCUAACUCCGUGCCAGCAGCCGCGGUAAUACGGAGGAUCCGAGCGUUAUCCGGAUUCAUUGGGGUUAAAGGGUGCGUAGGUUGUUUUAUAAGUUAGCGGUGAAAUACCGAUGCUCAACAUCGGGGCUGCCGCUAAUACUGUAGGACUAGAGAUCGGAUGCAGCAGGCGGAAUGUGUAGUGUAGCGGUGAAAUGCUUAGAGAUCAUACAGAACACCGAUUGCGAAGGCAGCUUACCAAGCUACUUCUGACGUUGAGGCACGAAAGCGUGGGGAGCAAACAGGAUUAGAUACCCCGGUAGUC
RNAcentral lists this ribosomal RNA (460 nucleotides) under uncultured bacterium. RNAcentral describes it as "partial 16S ribosomal RNA". It matches the Rfam family "Bacterial small subunit ribosomal RNA", at positions 338 to 795 of the family's 1533-position model. The record is from RNAcentral.